GACACAUUGAACAUCGAGAUCUUGAACGCAUAUUGCGGCCUCGGGCACUCCCGAGGCCACGCCCGUCUCAGGGUCGGUU
This 79-nucleotide ribosomal RNA is filed under the name Spermophorodrilus antiquus. Its description in RNAcentral is "partial 5.8S ribosomal RNA". It matches the Rfam family "5.8S ribosomal RNA", at positions 78 to 154 of the family's 154-position model. From Rfam's summary of the family: 5.8S ribosomal RNA (5.8S rRNA) is a component of the large subunit of the eukaryotic ribosome. It is transcribed by RNA polymerase I as part of the 45S precursor that also contains 18S and 28S rRNA. The record is from RNAcentral. Lineage: Eukaryota; Metazoa; Annelida; Clitellata; Crassiclitellata; Lumbricidae.